RNAcentral lists this ribosomal RNA (659 nucleotides) under Salmonella enterica subsp. enterica serovar Heidelberg. RNAcentral's name for it is "partial 23S ribosomal RNA". It matches the Rfam family "Bacterial large subunit ribosomal RNA", at positions 2145 to 2803 of the family's 2925-position model. Lineage: Bacteria; Pseudomonadati; Pseudomonadota; Gammaproteobacteria; Enterobacterales; Enterobacteriaceae. The record is from RNAcentral.
AGGUGGGAGGCUUUGAAGUGUGGACGCCAGUCUGCAUGGAGCCGACCUUGAAAUACCACCCUUUAAUGUUUGAUGUUCUAACGUGGACCCGUUACCCGGGUUGCGGACAGUGUCUGGUGGGUAGUUUGACUGGGGCGGUCUCCUCCUAAAGAGUAACGGAGGAGCACGAAGGUUGGCUAAUCCUGGUCGGACAUCAGGAGGUUAGUGCAAUGGCAUAAGCCAGCUUGACUGCGAGCGUGACGGCGCGAGCAGGUGCGAAAGCAGGUCAUAGUGAUCCGGUGGUUCUGAAUGGAAGGGCCAUCGCUCAACGGAUAAAAGGUACUCCGGGGAUAACAGGCUGAUACCGCCCAAGAGUUCAUAUCGACGGCGGUGUUUGGCACCUCGAUGUCGGCUCAUCACAUCCUGGGGCUGAAGUAGGUCCCAAGGGUAUGGCUGUUCGCCAUUUAAAGUGGUACGCGAGCUGGGUUUAGAACGUCGUGAGACAGUUCGGUCCCUAUCUGCCGUGGGCGCUGGAGAACUGAGGGGGGCUGCUCCUAGUACGAGAGGACCGGAGUGGACGCAUCACUGGUGUUCGGGUUGUCAUGCCAAUGGCACUGCCCGGUAGCUAAAUGCGGAAGAGAUAAGUGCUGAAAGCAUCUAAGCACGAAACUUGCCCCGAG